ACUCGCAGAAGAAGCACCGGCUAACUUCGUGCCAGCAGCCGCGGUAAUACGAGGGGUGCAAGCGUUAAUCGGAAUUACUGGGCGUAAAGCGUGCGUAGGUGGUUUGUUAAGCAAGAUGUGAAAGCCCCGGGCUCAACCUGGGAACUGCAUUUUGAACUGGCAAACUAGAGUAUUGUAGAGGGUAGUGGAAUUUCCAGUGUAGCGGUGAAAUGCGUAGAGAUUGGAAGGAACAUCAGUGGCGAAGGCGGCUACCUGGACAAAUACUGACACUGAGGCACGAAAGCGUGGGGAGCAAACAGGAUUAGAUACCCUGGUAGUCCACGCCGUAAACGAUGUCAACUAGCCGUCUGUGACCUUGAGUCGUGGGUGGCGCAGCUAACGCACUAAGUUGACCGCCUGGGGAGUACGGCCGCAAGGUUAAAACUCAAAUGAAUUGACGGGGGCCCGCACAAGCGGUGGAGCAUGUGGUUUAAUUCGAUGCAACGCGAAGAACCUUACCAUCCCUUGACA
Molecule: ribosomal RNA, 510 nt
Filed under: Colwellia sp. 6M3
Lineage: Bacteria; Pseudomonadati; Pseudomonadota; Gammaproteobacteria; Alteromonadales; Colwelliaceae
Description: bacterial SSU rRNA
Rfam family: Bacterial small subunit ribosomal RNA
Source: RNAcentral